AUCAAGAUUCGAGAAUCAAGAUGUAGAAGACGAGGAGUCGACUCGACACUAUCAUGUUGAUAUCCUUCUCAAAACACACGAUUUCUAAAUAUAUCCUCUUGAUUACUCUCUCUCAAUUUAUGAAUACACCAUCUUUUGAUCGAUUUAUGUAUUCCCUCUUUUAAUCGAUUUUUGUAUACCAUCUCAUCAUUUUUUCCUGAUUUCACUCUAUAUAUACCCGAUAGAAGAAACCCAAUUUUUGGAUAUCGAGAUGGCGAAAUAUGGUGGGUCAAGACUGGGGAGACUUGGACACUUUCAGGAGGAGGUUCACUUCUUUACUCGAUUUAAUUUUUUAGAUGCUUUGGGCAUUACAAAUGACUUUUACGGUUGUUCGGGAGGUUGUCCCAGUUAUAAUUGUUUCUGCGGAAAAAUAAUCAAAGUUGAAGCUAUUGAAAUCAUAAACUACCGUGACUAAAGAAAGAUUGGAUGGGUUAACAAUCUCAAGUAUUGUUUUUACAGAGUCUUAAUUACUGUAAAAGAAGAUGUAAAUGCUUCAAAACAU
Molecule: non-coding RNA, 541 nt
Organism: Lactuca sativa (garden lettuce)
Lineage: Eukaryota; Viridiplantae; Streptophyta; Magnoliopsida; Asterales; Asteraceae
Source: RefSeq, a predicted model, not a curated record